This 1067-nucleotide transfer RNA is filed under the name Bos indicus x Bos taurus (hybrid cattle). RNAcentral describes it as "lncRNA (ENSBIXG00005023160.1)". Lineage: Eukaryota; Metazoa; Chordata; Mammalia; Artiodactyla; Bovidae. The record is from RNAcentral.
CUCAGCCUAAAGAGAAAGGUCCCACCGAGAUUCGAACUCGGAUCGCUGGAUUCAGAGUCCAGAGUGCUCACCAUUACACCAUGGAACCGCCAGCGGCCCUGUAUUCCCGCCGCUGAGCCAGGCCUGGCGCAGCCGCGCCGGCCCAGGACCCGCCUCCCGCCCGGCGCUCUCAUCACCCCGCCCCGAGCAGCUUCCUCCACAACGCCAGGGGGCGCCUGCCUCGCCGGCCCGCAGCCGUCCCUUCAGGUUUGGACUUCGUGGAAUGAGACGAAACCUAUUCGAGGGGAACAACAGGGAAGGGCUUUUUGGGCCUCCUCUGCCGGCAUUUCUAGAGUUUUCUAUCCAGAAGUAAAAUUCUCGCCAGAAAAAAAGUUCCUUUUCUUUUUGCAGUUGUCCUCUUCCCGCUGCCCUAGGAGCGCUAAACAUCCCCAGAAGAGCCCUUCGGACUUCGUGGGAUGUCCGCUUCCUGGGACCCCAGGUCCAAGGGUAGUAAAAUCGGGGGGCACUGCCAGCUUCGUUCGGGGACAGAACGUCCUCUCUGUGUUGGGAACCCGAUCGAAGCCAAAGCGACAGCGGCCCCGCACAUCUCACCGCGAGCACCCACGCCGCUGGCGCCCAGUGGGGUGUGGUCGGAUACACAGGCGGGCAGCUGCUGAAACUCAGUAGUUCCUGGAUCUUCACUAUUUGGCCCCAGGAUGGUUUCUCCCCGCCCUCAUCAGGUGCAACUGGUCUCUGCACUAUCUGCAGCCCUGCAACUACCCUGACCUGCAUGAUUCCACACCGAUUCCAGAGAACUACCAGGCUGCAGAGGCUGAAGGCACAGGCAUGGGACUUACCACGGUCAGUCUCCAGGUUGGUGCACAUCAACAGCUAGUAUUAAGUAUGCCCUUACAGGAUGCCAUCAACACUUUGAUUUGAGGUGUUGCAUCCUUACAUUUUUUAAAAAUUAAUGACAUUACUUUUCAGGACAGCUUUAGGUUUACAGGUAAAUUGAGCACAUAGUAGAGAGUUUUCACACAUACUCUGUUGUUCCUAACCCAAUUUCUUGCAUUAGUGUCAUGGCGGGG